GGGUGUAGCUCAGUGGCAAAGUCUUGCUUGUGAUGCACAGGUCCUAGGUUUGAUCCUUAGCACCACCA
Molecule: transfer RNA, 68 nt
Filed under: Marmota monax (woodchuck)
Lineage: Eukaryota; Metazoa; Chordata; Mammalia; Rodentia; Sciuridae
Description: tRNA.His
Source: RNAcentral